This 490-nucleotide ribosomal RNA is filed under the name uncultured bacterium. Its description in RNAcentral is "partial 16S ribosomal RNA". It matches the Rfam family "Bacterial small subunit ribosomal RNA", at positions 29 to 507 of the family's 1533-position model. The record is from RNAcentral.
AGUGAACGCUGGCGGUAGGCCUAACACAUGCGAGUCGAACGGCAGCACAGGAGAGCUUGCUCUCUAGGUGGCGAGUGGCGGACGGGUGAGGAAUACAUCGGAAUCUGCCCAGUCGUGGGGGAUAACGUAGGGAAACUUACGCUAAUACCGCAUACGACCUUCGGGUGAAAGAGGGGGAUCGCAAGACCUCUCGCGAUUGGAUGAGCCGAUGUCGGAUUAGCUAGUUAGCGGGGUAAUGGCCCACCAAGGCGACGAUCCGUAGCUGGUCUGAGAGGAUGAUCAGCCACACUGGAACUGAGACACGGUCCAGACUCCUACGGGAGGCAGCAGUGGGAAAUAUUGGACAAUGGGCGCAAGCCUGAUCCAGCCAUACCGCGUGGGUGAAGAAGGCCUUCGGGUUGUAAAGCCCUUUUGUUGGGAAAGAAAUCUUUCAGGCUAAUACCCUGGGAGGAUGACGGUACCCAAAGAAUAAGCACCGGCUAACUUCGUG